GCUUAUGAGUAGAAUUGAUUCUCCGUGUGCGCUAUGUGCGGAUAGCUUGCUAUGCGUGUGUGGCUGCGUGUGGAUUGAGUCGAGACGUAACUUAUUGCCGUUCGGGACGUUGACGAAAUGGAGCGAUUUGACCCGUCUUGAAACACGGACCAAGGAGUCUAACAUGUGUGCAAGUGUUAGGGUGUGGAAACCCCAGCGCGUAAUGAAAGUAAAGGAUAGCGUAAGUUAUCUGAGGUAGGAAAUGCUGCGGGUUCGUCCUGCGGCGUGGCACUAUCGACCGAUCAUGAACCCUUGUGGUGAAAGAUUUGAGUUUGAGCACAUAUGUUGGUACCCGAAAGAUGGUGAACUAUGCCUGAGUAGGGUGAAGCCAGGGGAAACUCUGGUGGAAGCUCGUAGCGAUUCUGACGUGCAAAUCGAUCGUCAAACUUGGGUAUAGGGGCGAAAGACUAAUCGAACCAUCUAGUAGCUGGUUCCCUCCGAAAUUUCCCUCAGGAUAGCAGCAACUUAUUUACGAUAGUUUUAUGAGGUAAAGCGAAUGAUUAGAGGAUUCGGGGAAGAAACUUUCUCGACCUAUUCUCAAACUUUAAAUCUGUAAGACCUGCAGGUUUCUUAAUU
RNAcentral lists this ribosomal RNA (615 nucleotides) under Bremia cirsii. Its description in RNAcentral is "LSU rRNA". It matches the Rfam family "Eukaryotic large subunit ribosomal RNA", at positions 512 to 1096 of the family's 3401-position model. Lineage: Eukaryota; Oomycota; Peronosporomycetes; Peronosporales; Peronosporaceae. The record is from RNAcentral.